Long non-coding RNA from Thalassophryne amazonica, 493 nucleotides. RefSeq lists it as uncharacterized. The record is from RefSeq and is a predicted model, not a curated record. The transcript has 3 exons. NCBI's taxonomy places the organism in Eukaryota, Metazoa, Chordata, Actinopteri, Batrachoidiformes, Batrachoididae.
GAGACAUGCAGAUUGAUCUUCUUGGACGGGGGGGACGGGGGACUGUGCAUUUUCAGAGGGAGACACAACUUCUCAAAGUCAGCCUGGAGGCAAAGGACAGAAAAAUCUUGUUUGAGCCUGAGUGAGGAGGAUCAGACAUGCACAGCGCUCACUCAUUACUCAAAAGACCAACGCUUCGUUCCACUCAUUGAUCCGGGGUCAAGGUGGAACAUUCUGCAACACUCCCUGGACAACAUUUUGUCUUUAUUGCUGAGCCAUGGGGAGCACAAUGAAGACGUCACACAGGUGUACAACAACUAUCCAGAGGAUCUAGGGGCAGCUUUAUACCGAGAACCAUUUGACUUCAACGCAGAGCCGCCUUGGGAUCCUAGCUGAUAGUGGAGGAGUUCCUCCCUGAACUCUUCCACGUAAGUACACAAGGAACCCAGGGGCUCGAGAGUUGGAUAACAAGACCACUACGGACUAUCUGUCUCCUUUAUGCCUGUCAGUUUAG